GCAGCGCCCGGCCCCCGGGCUGGGCGAGGAUUGAAAC
Non-coding RNA from Limnothrix sp. P13C2, 37 nucleotides. NCBI's taxonomy places the organism in Bacteria, Bacillati, Cyanobacteriota, Cyanophyceae, Pseudanabaenales, Pseudanabaenaceae. The record is from Rfam.